GGUUGUAGCUCAGUGGUAUAGCGCCUACCUUGUACAUGCGAGGCCCUGGGUUCAAUCCACAGAACUA
RNAcentral lists this transfer RNA (67 nucleotides) under Marmota monax (woodchuck). RNAcentral's name for it is "tRNA.Thr". The record is from RNAcentral. Lineage: Eukaryota; Metazoa; Chordata; Mammalia; Rodentia; Sciuridae.